Long non-coding RNA from Oncorhynchus tshawytscha (Chinook salmon), 1033 nucleotides. NCBI's taxonomy places the organism in Eukaryota, Metazoa, Chordata, Actinopteri, Salmoniformes, Salmonidae. The record is from Ensembl.
UACAUUAACACAUUUUUAUUUCAAUAGCUCUAUCGAAAGCAACAACAGUGAUAAAUAUAAACACUAUGCAACGCUCAACAUUCCUUCAAUAGAGCCCCCCACCCCCAGGAAGUAAAUGAGAAAUAAAGACAAGGAAAAAAAGGUGCCUUGAGGAGCCAUUAACAUGCAGAAAAACAACUAUGCUAUUUAAAGGGGGGUUGGGUGGAAUCCACCAAGAACAGUUAUUUUGAAAAAUCAUUCUGAUUUUAAUUGUUUUCCCCUAAAGACGUACGUUGCUGAGAAAAUAUAAUGCACAUCUGAGGAUCAACAACUCCACAGUAUGAAGAGAACGUUCCGUAAAGCUAAAUUACAAAGCCAUUCAAUUCUGAAAGAAAACACAGGUAGCAAUGAAAAUGACACCUUCCUCAUCACUGUGGCGGUUGCCAUCAAUCAACCAGUUGUUAUUUCGUACUACACAGCAGCAAAUAAAAUAGUAAUAGUUACAAAACAUUAGGCAGCGAGUUCAACUUCUUUUCACUUUAAAAAAAAAAUAUUUUUAAUUUUUUUUUUACAAAACUGCAAAAUUUCCAAGUCGAACUUUUGGAAAAAAAGUUUCUGUCUGUUUAGUUUAAAAAUGAUUUGAAACCCUCGUCUGUCUUUAGGAGUCUCAGCCAAAAGUAUCAACACUACAGAGAUUUAACUUCUGCUCUGUUCUGUAAACUAGAUGAAACAAAGAAAAUACAACUGUUUACGCAGUUCCACUUCCUCUGUAAUAUAUUACGUAGGUAUUAUUAUCCAGAGUUUCCCAUUCUUUUCUCAAGGGUUUGUUAUCGUUUACUCAGAACGCUAUGGCCCAACUUAGUAUGCACACUAGUAGCUUGUCGCACACUACUGAGAAUGCAAGUCCAGUACAUGUCUAGAAUGGUGUUUUGGGACGUGACCGUAGUGGCCAAUCUCAGAUCAGCACAGUACAAAGCAGAAUCUUCAUUCACUAAAACUAAAUCGUAAGAAAAACUGAGCAAUGCCGAUAGGCCUGAUAAUCGAUACUCAUCCC